GUCCAGGUGAGCAUGGCAAGGUGUUUCCUGUGGAGCCACUAACCAGUGGUUGAGCAGGCUUGUAGGGAGGUUCUGCUCCUUCCCCAGCCCUUGCCCUGCUCUGGCUCCAUCCGUGGGCAGCGUUCUCUCUGAGCUGCUGAGGUUCCUCAGCCUCCCCAUGGCAGGAAUGGAGGUGUGGAGGUCUCCUCUGGGCUCCAGCAGCAGAACAGGCUGGUGAGGGCUGGCUCCAAAGAGGUGAGACCUUCCUACACCAGUGCUGGGGAGGCAGGAGCGAGAGGAGAGCUCCAGGAGCCAUCUCAGGAGCUGAGUAAGAUAUUUUUUUUCCCCCUGUGGUUGGAAUGGAGGGGUUGGGUCUGUGCCUAAGAAGCAGCAGCCGAACGUCGGUCCUGGGAGAAAGCCGAGUGGAUGUGGGGUGCCCUGCCAGCUAACUGUCCAGGAGCUGCAGCCCCACGGCCCGAGGGGCUGGAUGCAGUGAGAGGACGCGGCUGGAAAGGAGCCACCAAAACAAAUGCCAGGAAAAAUAAGCCUUCAGUAGUGGCU
Molecule: long non-coding RNA, 540 nt
Filed under: Junco hyemalis (dark-eyed junco)
Lineage: Eukaryota; Metazoa; Chordata; Aves; Passeriformes; Passerellidae
Description: lncRNA (ENSJHYG00000005315.1)
Source: RNAcentral